UUGGAUGCAAGUUAUCAAAUGGCGGCAGUUCAAAAGCAGUGAAGAAAGAGGAUAUAGCUGAUGGAAUUAACACACUGAUGUCGGAUGAAGAAAUUCACAAACAGGCAGCUAUGAUACGUGGGGGCUUCAAGAGUGGUUUCCCAGCAAGUUCAGUGUCUGCGCUAGAUGCUUUUGUGGAUUUUAUCAAGAAAAACACAUCUUAGCUAAAAGGCACCUUGUGGGCUUUAUGGUUUUUAUGCACCUGAGUGGUUUUAUCAUUAUUCAUCUCUAGUUUAGCUGCUGAAAUGUCACAUGCUGGGAAUGUGAGCUGAUAUUUUUAGGCAGCCUACUGUUUUUACUGUGGGACUUGUAUGCUCCUCUUUCUCAGAAAAAAGGGGAGCUUCUUAAUGCAAUCGAGCUUUGUUUUAUCUUGCAAAAAGAAUAUAUUGGACUUUUACUCCCGUGAAGCUAGAUCUAAACAAAGGAUACAUUGAAUCAAGAUGGCUCUGUAUUCCCUCCGAGGAGGAUUUCUGUGUACUGGGAUGCCUAAAUAAAAGUACAAUUAGGAACAGCCAUAAGAGAUCAGAUGCUGAAAUCCUAGUUGUGUCAAAAAGUGCGAAGUUAAAACAACGCAAUAAGAAAGCUUGAUAGUAGCUUCAUAAGUUACCAGGACUGACAAGACUAGAUGAAGCUGUGUGGUCUGUA
This 684-nucleotide long non-coding RNA is filed under the name Daucus carota (carrot). Its description in RNAcentral is "long non-coding RNA (DCAR_LNC005555)". The record is from RNAcentral. Lineage: Eukaryota; Viridiplantae; Streptophyta; Magnoliopsida; Apiales; Apiaceae.